Pecten maximus is the source of this 488-nucleotide long non-coding RNA. RefSeq lists it as uncharacterized. The transcript has 2 exons. NCBI's taxonomy places the organism in Eukaryota, Metazoa, Mollusca, Bivalvia, Pectinida, Pectinidae. The record is from RefSeq and is a predicted model, not a curated record.
AAAUACAUAAAAUGAAACAAUAUUGUAAAAGUAACUUCAAUGCAAUUUUAUAGUAUUUUAAAAAGCAUCUGUUGAACUCACAAAUCUUCAUUUUUAUUAAGUCUGUAUGAAUGAAAAACCUUUCCUGUGCCCCAACUUAAGAUUGACCAAUGUAAAACAAGGUCCCCACUUUGAAUUGAGUUUCCUGUGGCUGCAUGUGGACAUUUUGCAUCUCUGUGAAUCAGUAUAAAUUGUCCUAUCAAUCACUUCUGGAAAUAGAAUCAACUUCUGUCAUUCUGGACAUGGUAAGGACAUGUGCAACCUAUCUACAUCUGCAUGUUGAAAGUUCUGUAAAUAAGUUACAUAAACAAACAGAAGAUGGACUCAGUGAAGUGAUCCAGAUGAAGAUUUCCAAGGGUCAACAAUAAAUGCACAAAUGCAAAAAGAUACAGUGAGCUCUGAAGUGGACGGAAAUGACAGGAAGAGUUAAAAGAUAUUGUAACUGUACU